CACGUAUUGAAGUUGCAUUAAGUCUUGAAAUUAAACAAUAUAUUAAAACCCUAAGCUACAUCUUCAUCCUAACAUAAAAAGUAUUUAGCCACUCAUAAUGUCUGAAUUAAACAAAUAUAAGUCAAAAGACAUCAUCGGAUUUAAUUACAAUCAACAAGAUAAAAUUAAUCCAUGCUAUCUUUGAUGUUCGCCAUACGAAUACCAACAAUUGCCCUUCGUUUUUCUUUCUUGCGUAGUGUAAAUCUCCCGACAAAUUAUGACUGAACAUGAUUAAUUCCACAAUUCUUGCACAAAAUCUUGAUGAAUUUUUGUACAAAAACUGGAAUUACUUUCUUCCCUUGUUGCUGCUGCUGUCCGUCCGUCCUUUGUGCGUGUAUAUCCAGUUUCAAUUUCUUCCCAGCUUUCCAAAACCAAUUAGAAUUCUAAUUGGUUGUCUUCUAUCCACUUUCUGCCACAGCUUCCUCGUGCCAAUAGGAGUC
RNAcentral lists this long non-coding RNA (479 nucleotides) under Olea europaea subsp. europaea. The record is from RNAcentral. Lineage: Eukaryota; Viridiplantae; Streptophyta; Magnoliopsida; Lamiales; Oleaceae.